UCUUCCACAGUACAGUGCUCAUGUCAAAAUAGAGGAGGCACGAUCCUACUCCGGCGAACCCGAUCCACCUUCCACUGCCGGCGGUCAAGAGAGAUCAAGGGGGUCCCUUCCUCCGGUCAUCAUCCAGCACCUGUCACCAGCCGGCGAUGCCACUUCAACCAUCUGAUUUCCAACUCUGCCGUGACUUCGGGCGAGGAAGAAGAAAUGGAGAAGCUACAAGCCAUCCUUCUUCUUCCCUGAUCGGAUCCGAGAUGAGAGAAAGAAGGCCGGAGUUACGAAGGAGAUAGGGGUUUACCAUUUCCUUUAAAAUUCUAUUCUGCCAUUCCAUCAUCUUCCGCAUUCAUCUCCGAUUGAAUCUCUAACCGAUCAUCAUCAACGCCGAGUUAUUCUGCUUGAUCUCGAUCCGAUCUUAGCAUGGAGAAGUCCUAGCUUGGUUGUACGAGGUUGUACAUAGUCAGUCCACUGAGUCAUAUCCAGCAUAUCAAAGCCCACAAGGAGUUCAGAAUGAUUAUAUAGCUAUGCGGAAGAGGAUUCGCCGUGUUCAACAAUUCAAGGAAGAGACAUUGCAUGAAUAUUAGAAGAGAUUCAAGGAACUUUGCUCCAGUUGUCCUCAGCAUCAAUGUUGUUGAUGAUGCAGAUAUUGAUGUUGAUGAUGAAGAGAGUGUAGGGGAUUGCAUAGUGGAAGCAAUAUCCUAAGAAUCACCUCUCCCAGUUGUACAAUCACUUGAACUAGAUGUUGAUGAUGUAAGUGUAGGGGAUUGCACGUGAAGCAAUACCCCAAGAAUCACUUGAGCCAGAGUCUGAGCUAUUAUUUGAUGAUGAGGAGACCACAGUCACCAUUCUAGAACCUCCAGAUUUAUACUUUCCAUUUGCAUAGACUCCCAGAGUGGUUGCUUCAAUUUAACCACCUACAACCUCCAUGGAGAACUUUCAAGGCGACAAUGGUAGAAGGAGAGGUGGUUAUGUCAAUUCUAAGUAUCCAUCUUCAGCUUGGAUUUUGUGCCUUAACCGACUCCAACCAUCAAGAAGGAUCAUUCCACUACCAGCAUGGAUCCUACUUCUAAUCUUCUUCAAUAGCCCAAAAUAAAGGGGAGUCUAUCCUUUGUUUUUCUUUUCACUUUAUGCUUUUCUUUACUUCAUACUUUGCUUUAUACUUUGUUUGCAUAUUUUACACUUUGUUUUGUCUUCCCUAUAUUUUGUUUGGUCUAUAUAUCAAUUGAUUUUAAAUAAAUUCUCCAAGUGUGAUUCUUAAUAGUACUUUGAGGAUCAUAAAAGUUCUUUAAGUUCGACCGUCAAUUUUUAGGUCAUUUUACAUGAUUGAAUGCUUUACUUGCAUGCUAUUGGUUAAUGUGGUGAUGGAUUAUAUUUUGAUUAAUUGAGUUUGAUUGCCGAAAAAUUACCUAGAGAGGACUACCUAAAGCCUAUAUUCUAUUAUCUUUUUGUGUGAUAUGCACAGUGCACUCAUGCCAAUUGAAACUCUAGAACUUGCUUUGCACAAUAACAUAUGUGUGCAUGAAUAUGAUGAAGGAUAUUUCUUUCUCUAUCUUCCUUUCAAAUGCUAGUUGAAUAAUUCACUCAGCAUUUUUAUCUCUCACCAUAUUUGCUUUGUCAUCCUUCCAUUGAGAGUUUUGGUUGAUUAUCGUGAUGAGUUAGAUUGUUAGAUGACGGACAAGACUUUAAGUAUGGGGGAGGAUUUGCAUAUGUUGGAGAACUUGAAAGUUUUGGAUGGCUUCAUGAGAAGAUUGUGGCUGUGAAUUGUGUAGUUUGUUUCAAUAGUUAUGAAAGAGACUAUCAUUGCUUUUGGGGUUUAUGAAGUUGGUUAUGUUAGCUCAGUGCUAGAAUUCUGAAUUUAGGAAUCAGAAUCCUGAAACAAAAUUCUUGAAGCUUAGUUAUGAACCUAGAAGCUCUGCUGUGAGUUUCUGUGAAGGUCAGUAUUGUAUCACAGUUCAAGUGCUGUAUUUGUCAUUGACCUUUUGAAUCUAUAAAGAGGAGGCUGAGACAUCAGAAUAUUGUAAGUGAUGGUCAAAUUCUGUAUUGACACAGAAUCUGGAUAUUAGGAAGAACUGAAACCCUGAAGAUUUGAAUUUCUGAGAUACCCUCCUGAACUCCUAGAAAUCUGAUUUCUAACUUGAAUAUCUGAAUGUCCGAUAUUGUCUUUGAAGAAAAAUGCCAUGAAUUAUUGGCAAAGGAGUCAACUUUGUUUACCUCUCCAACCAUACAACAAGAUAGUGUUUCCUUUGCUGAUCAAGAAAUAAGGAUAAUCCACAGCAGGAACUGCAGAAGUUUAGUGUCUAUAAAUUUAUGCCAAUUCAUUAUGCUGCUCCUGACCAGUGUUGUUAUAAAUUUAAGUUUUGAGCAUUUCGGUGCUAAAUGAUACUCCCUUUCAAGUUGAACUCUGUAUAACUUGAGCUGGUAACACUUUGAAAUCUCAAUUCUGAAACUAAAGUCUAAGCUGCAGACUUCAAAACCAGAUUCAAAUUCUGUUUCUGGAAUUGGUAUUCCUGAUAUUCCAGGAAUUAAGACUCAUCAUAAGAUGUGUUAGCAGUAGGAUAUACAAAUGUAUUGCUGGUCUCUGAAUCGGAGUUUUGAAGUCUUAAAAUCAGAAAUUCUUUAACCUUGAGUCUGAAACUAAAUUCUGAAGAUCCUGGAACCUGUGGAGCUCAACUUAGUGAGUUUCUGCUGGAUGUUCUUCUCUGAAGUUUGAAUGACAGGAAAAAAAAAUUCAGUUAUCUUUUGGUUAUCGAAAUUUGGAACCCCCAAUCAAAUAUGAUUUCCUGAAUGACACGAUCGAUAUUCUGAACUCUGAUUUUGAAUUGUUUAAGGGCAGGAAAUUCUGUUAUCAAAAACUGAAAUUGAUUUCUGUAAUUCCAUUGAAACAAAUCCAGCAACUAGUUGAGGCCCUGCACAUAGGAAUUAACAUCCUUUUGAGCAUAAAUGACACUUGCUUUCAGAACUUCAAAUUACAAACCCAUGUAAAUGGAUUCUGUUAAGUAGAAUGGAAGAAUUCCCAAUUGAAAUUCAACUUUCCAUAUAAUCUACAGUUUUGUUUGCAGCAAUUAGGAUUCGAAGUUCUUGACCCUCCUAUUGUUAAUUGGUGUGACAACAUCUCAAAUUCUAUCAAUUCAGUGCCAAAUGAUACAUUCUUCCCAGCUGAGUUCUUCAUGAGUCAACCAAAUUAUAUCAGAGUCCAAGUUUUGGGACUUGAUUUAAAAAAAAAAAAAUUGAAUUCAGGAAGCAGUGAAUUUCUGAAACGGUUCCUUUUAAAUUUUGAGAUGUAUGAAUUGAAGCUCCACUCUUUUACAACCUACACAUGACCCAACCCUUGAACCUAUUUGAAUUCAGAUUCUGGGCAUGGCUCCUGAAUUCAGAUUCUGUAAACCAGAAUGUUAGAAAAUGGUGGUAAUUCUGAAUUCCUUUUGAGCAUGGUUAUUGAAUCAUUGAAAUGCAGAGUUUGAUCCCAACUUAGGGGCUUUCUCGAAUACAGGAAUUAGGGAACUGUAGCACUCAUUUGGUAAGUUGUGUGGUUCAUAUAAUAAAUAGUGACACAUGAAGAGUAUCAAGAGAAGAGAUAGCGUGCCAAGAUUCUUGGGUGGUUAUCAAAGUGAAGGAGAGUUAGUCUUAAUCUCUUGUUUAAUUAUUGACAAAUGGUAUUCAUCUCUUUUUACAUCAAAUUGGUUAACUCAUCAGGUUUAUUCUUCCAAUACUCUCACUCUCUCAUCUAUUCUUUUCCCUUAUCCAUUUUGUUAGCUUCACUUAAAUCUUUUUGACUCCAUUUAAAUUCAUAAAAAUCCUUUUCAUUCAUGUAUGCUAUGUUUUAUGGUGGUGGAGAAUUAGAAAAUGAGCAAGUCUAUGGUAGUGAAAUGUCAUUAAGUUGUAUUGAGUGAGCUCCACUUCCAUCCAUGAUUUUGAGAGUUAAGAGUAGGUACAUUUACUCAGUGAGAUUGCAUCUUGCUUAGUUAUUUCAAAUGGAUUGAAAUCAUCAUGCUUAUUGAUUAUUGUAGGGAUUGAACUUAUGAUUGUUUUGAUCUUUAAAUGGUCUUAGUUAAAUUUAUUUUAUUAUCUUCUAGGUAUUACUAGGAAAUUAUUAUGGAGAUGGGUUUUAGUUGUUUCUUUGUUUUGUUUGUAUGCUCGGGACGUGCAAAAAUAAGUGUGGGAGAAUUUGAUAACGAUCAUUUUGUUACAUUAUUUAGGAUCCUAUACUUGAGUUUUUGGAGUUGAUUGUGUGUUUAGAUCCGCAUUUAUAUCACAUGUUAAGAGUUGUAUCCAUUUUUAGAUUUUAAUACAAAUUAUCUCUUAUUUUUUGAAUUAUGACUAACAUUUGAAUGUGAUCUUUGUAAGGGAUCAAAGGGGCCAAGGACUCUUAUCAGAUCAUAUCAAAUUUAGGCUCAACUCUAGUGUUGAUUGAAGAGAUCAAGCUCUAAAAUAAUUUGGACCGUUAAUCCAAGAUUAGGAGAGAUCUGAGCCAUUUGUUAGAGAUAUGGUCCAUCUAAGUCAAGGGAGAGCAGAUCCUAGCCAUUUAUCAAGAUCUGGAUUUUCAGAUCCUAGAUCUGAACUGAUCCAGCCGUUGGAUCAUAUCUGGAUCAUUCUGGGCGUCCGUGCAGAUCUGAGAUCAAAUUUAAAAGGGAGAAACUACAGUCUUUUCGUCAAUCGCGUCAAACAGAGGAGGCGCAAUCCUGCUCCAGCGAACCCGAUCCACCUUCCACCACCGGCGGUCAAGAGAGGUCAAAGGCGUCCCUUCCUCCGGUCAUCAUCCACCUGUCACUAGCCGCCGACGCCACUUCAACCAUCUGAUUUCCAACUCUGCCGCGACUUCGGGCGAGGAAGAAAAAAUAGCGAAGUUGCAAGCCAUCCUUCUUCUUCCCGGAUCGGUUCCGAUACGAGAGGAAGAAGGGAAGAAGGCCAAAGUUACGAAGGGGAUAGGGGUUUACCAUUUCCUUUGAAAUUCUGUUCUGUCAUUCCAUCAUCUUCCGCAUUCAUCUCCUAUUGAAGCUCUGCCCGAUCAUCAUCAACGCCGAGUUAUUCUGCUUGAUCUUGAUCCGAUCUUAGCAUGGAGAAGCCCUAGCUUGGUUGUUAGCUCCAUUCUGAAAUUCGAUACUUCUUUGAUGUACCGAUUGCUUGCUUGUGUUCAUGUUUUAAUUCUGGUAUGAAUUCAUUGUUGGUUGAAUGGUUGAAUUGUGUUCAUGUUUCGGAUUUCAUCUAUCCGGGUCUGUUUUGAAAUGUGUCUGAUGAAAUUCCUCAACCAUUCUUGUUACUCUGAUUGUUACAUUUAAGUUUGUUAAAUUCUUGCAAUGCUUUAGUUAGUUGA
Long non-coding RNA from Zingiber officinale, 5305 nucleotides. RefSeq lists it as uncharacterized. The transcript is spliced from 4 exons. The record is from RefSeq and is a predicted model, not a curated record. NCBI's taxonomy places the organism in Eukaryota, Viridiplantae, Streptophyta, Magnoliopsida, Zingiberales, Zingiberaceae.